CACCACCCACUAGGAUCCCCCAUAACCCUGGUGUCUUCAUCUCCUGUGAUCCAUGAGGUCCAAUGCUGUCACCACCCACUAGGAUCCCCCAUAACCCUGGUGUCUUCAUCUCCUGGGAUCCAUGAGAUCCAAUGCUGUCACCGUCCACUAGGAUCCCCCAUAACCCUGGUGUCUUCAUCUCCUGUGAUCCAUGAGGUCCAAUGCUGUCACCACCCACUAGGAUCCCCCAUAACUCUGGUGUCUUCAUCUCCUGUGAUCCAUGAGGUCCAAUGCUGUCACCGUCCACUAGGAUCCCCCAUAACCCUGGUGUCUUCAUCUCCUGGGAUCC
Long non-coding RNA from Cebus imitator (Panamanian white-faced capuchin), 328 nucleotides. RefSeq lists it as uncharacterized. The record is from RefSeq and is a predicted model, not a curated record. Lineage: Eukaryota; Metazoa; Chordata; Mammalia; Primates; Cebidae. The transcript is spliced from 2 exons.